GCCUACUUGUCCUCUUUGGUCUUUGACAGGAUGAAGGGGGGAGCCCAAGCAGCGUGUCCCAGUCCUGCUCAUUGCCUGAUUUCACACUUGCAGCUGAGGUCCUCAGAUCGCUGGCUGAAAACCAGAAGGCAGGAUAUGUGGGAAAACAAUAUUGUGAAGCUCUUAAUGUUCCCUUUGAAGAGAGCAUCAGGAUAGACCCCAAUCUUUUCCUGGAUUCUGGUGAACCACAAAAGUCCUGCCUGCAUGUGCUUACUUGCCUUCCAGCAAGUGCUGCCCUAGGACAGGUCCAUUCUGUCCUGGCUGAUGGCCUCCAGCAGCUGAGGAUCUUCAAUACUGUGAAAUUCUGAAAAAAAUUAUCAGGACUUAGCAAGGAUUCCUGUUGCUGCUUCAUCUA
Molecule: long non-coding RNA, 394 nt
Organism: Parus major (Great Tit)
Lineage: Eukaryota; Metazoa; Chordata; Aves; Passeriformes; Paridae
Source: Ensembl